AUUGAACGCUGGCGGCAGGCCUAACACAUGCAAGUCGAGCGGAUGAAGGGAGCUUGCUCCUGGAUUCAGCGGCGGACGGGUGAGUAAUGCCUAGGAAUCUGCCUGGUAGUGGGGGAUAACGUCCGGAAACGGGCGCUAAUACCGCAUACGUCCUGAGGGAGAAAGUGGGGGAUCUUCGGACCUCACGCGAUCAGAUGAGCCUAGGUCGGAUUAGCUAGUUGGUGGGGUAAAGGCCUACCAAGGCGACGAUCCGUAACUGGUCUGAGAGGAUGAUCAGUCACACUGGAACUGAGACACGGUCCAGACUCCUACGGGAGGCAGCAGUGGGGAAUAUUGGACAAUGGGCGAAAGCCUGAUCCAGCCAUGCCGCAUGUGUGAAGAAGGUCUUCGGAUUGUAAAGCACUUUAAGUUGGGAGGAAGGGCAGUAAGUUAAUACCUUGCUGUUUUGACGUUACCAACAGAAUAAGCACCGGCUAACUUCGUG
This 484-nucleotide ribosomal RNA is filed under the name uncultured bacterium. RNAcentral's name for it is "partial 16S ribosomal RNA". It matches the Rfam family "Bacterial small subunit ribosomal RNA", at positions 30 to 507 of the family's 1533-position model. The record is from RNAcentral.